GACGAACUUUGGCGGCGUGCUUAACACAUGCAAGUCGAACGGAAAGGCCCUGCUUUUGUGGGGUGCUCGAGUGGCGAACGGGUGAGUAACACGUGAGUAACCUGCCCUUGACUUUGGGAUAACUUCGGGAAACUGGGGCUAAUACCGGAUAGGAGCUCCUGCUGCAUGGUGGGGGUUGGAAAGUUUCGGCGGUUGGGGAUGGACUCGCGGCUUAUCAGCUUGUUGGUGGGGUAGUGGCUUACCAAGGCUUUGACGGGUAGCCGGCCUGAGAGGGUGACCGGCCACAUUGGGACUGAGAUACGGCCCAGACUCCUACGGGAGGCAGCAGUGGGGAAUAUUGCACAAUGGGCGGAAGCCUGAUGCAGCAACGCCGCGUGCGGGAUGACGGCCUUCGGGUUGUAAACCGCUUUCGCCUGUGACGAAGCGUGAGUGACGGUAAUGGGUAAAGAAGCACCGGCUAACUACGUGCCAGCAGCCGCGGUGAUACGUAGGGUGCGAGCGUUGUCCGGAUUUAUUGGGCGUAAAGGGCUCGUAGGUGGUUGAUCGCGUCGGAAGUGUAAUCUUGGGGCUUAACCCUGAGCGUGCUUUCGAUACGGGUUGACUUGAGGAAGGUAGGGGAGAAUGGAAUUCCUGGUGGAGCGGUGGAAUGCGCAGAUAUCAGGAGGAACACCAGUGGCGAAGGCGGUUCUCUGGGCCUUUCCUGACGCUGAGGAGCGAAAGCGUGGGGAGCGAACAGGCUUAGAUACCCUGGUAGUCCACGCUGUAAACGGUGGGUACUAGGUGUGGGGUCCAUUCCACGGGUUCCGUGCCGUAGCUAACGCUUUAAGUACCCCGCCUGGGGAGUACGGCCGCAAGGCUAAAACUCAAAGGAAUUGACGGGGCCCCCACAAGCGGCGGAGCAUGCGGAUUAAUUCGAUGCAACGCGUAGAACCUUACCUGGGUUUGACAUGGAUCGGGAGUGCUCAGAGAUGGGUGUGCCUCUUUUGGGGUCGGUUCACAGGUGGUGCAUGCCUGUCGUCAGCUCGUGUCGUGAGAUGUUGGGUUAAGUCCCGCAACGAGCGCAACCCUUGUUCACUGUUGCCAGCACGUUAUGGUGGGGACUCAGUGGAGACCGCCGGGGUCAACUCGGAGGAAGGUGGGGAUGACGUCAAGUCCUCAUGCCCCUUAUGUCCAGGGCUUCACGCAUGCUACAAUGGCUGGUACAGAGAGUGGCGAGCCUGUGAGGGUGAGCGAAUCUCGGAAAGCCGGUCUCAGUUCGGAUUGGGGUCUGCAACUCGACCUCAUGAAGUCGGAGUCGCUAGUAAUCGCAGAUCAGCAACGCUGCGGUGAAUACGUUCCCGGGGCC
RNAcentral lists this ribosomal RNA (1345 nucleotides) under uncultured bacterium. RNAcentral's name for it is "bacterial SSU rRNA". It matches the Rfam family "Bacterial small subunit ribosomal RNA", at positions 28 to 1381 of the family's 1533-position model. The record is from RNAcentral.